GAUGAACGCUAGCGGCAGGCCUAAUACAUGCAAGUCGAGGGGUAGAAGAGGCUUGCUUCUUUGAGACCGGCGCACGGGUGCGUAACGCGUAUGCAACCUACCUUCUUCUUGGGGAUAGCCCGGAGAAAUCCGGAUUAAUACCGCAUAAAAUCACAGGAUGGCAUUAUCCAAUGAUCAAACAUUUAUGGGAUUGAUAUGGGCAUGCGUGUCAUUAGCUAGUUGGAGGGGUAACGGCAUAACAAGGCGAAGAAGACUAGGGGAUCUGAGAGGAUGGACCCCCAGACUGUUACUUGGGAGAGGAGCGGACUCCGUCGUGAGGCAGCAGUAAGGAAUAUUGGUCAAUGGAGGCAACUUUGACACAGCCAUGCCGCGUGGAGGAAGACUGCCCUAUGGAUUGUAAACUGCUUUUAUUCGGGAAUAAACCUGAUUACGUGGAAUAAGCUGAAUGUACCGAAGGAAUAAGGAUCGGCUAACUCCGUGCCAGCAGCCGGGUAA
Molecule: ribosomal RNA, 495 nt
Filed under: uncultured bacterium
Lineage: Bacteria
Description: partial 16S ribosomal RNA
Rfam family: Bacterial small subunit ribosomal RNA
Source: RNAcentral